UUGUUACACCAAGAUUUGGAUAUGUUGAUCUUGAUCAGUUGGUAGAAAAGUUUUUGAAACAAAACUGCCCCAAGAUCGUAAUCAGUUAAUAGGGAUCUCUUAACAUGUACAACUACGGAAGAUACAUUCGGUUGCAUCCAGUGUUCUUACUAAUAUUUCCACUGCACCAGUUGUAGUAAUAACAAAACCCAAUCGUGAUCCCUUGCAUUUAUGAGUAUCUCAAAACCCGCGCUUCAUUUGCCAUUGCCUGCAGUCUAUGAUUUUAAUAAAGUUAAUUGAUUGCUGUUUUUCCUUGCUAUAUACAUGAUAGAGACGCAUCAAUUGUCCUGCAGGACCUUUUCUUCAGAUCAGUGCCAAAUUGCCAACAAUGACAAUUGUCACCCUUGCGAAUCUUGGUCUCUGGUUCGGAAGUCCAUUCUAUACACUCUUUUCAACACAUGCCACGUAUUGCUUCACUGCUCGCACAAACGUGACGAAUCACAGGAUUGAAACUGAGACUUUGGAUGGCAACCUGCGUCGUGUCGAAGAAAGAAUCACGGAUGGUUCCCGGAAUGGCUUGAUGCCGACGGUUGAAGCAGAUAAGUGGGUUCAAAGGGCGGAGGAAGCCAUAUCCGAAGAAGCGGAAAACCGCAAGUCUUUUGGUGAGAGGUGCAUGAUUUUUGGGUGCUCCCUCAAUUGUUGGGGAAACUAUAAAACCAGCAAGCAAGCAGCUGAGAAGGUGGCUACUGUGAGAAACUAUAUCAGUAGCACACCUCUACCUGAUAAUGUCACACGCGUGCGACCUCCACCUCCUGUCGAAGAAUUGUCCACCCACAGUGUUCAAGUUCCGCCAAGCGGAGAGGAUACUCUUCGGGAUGCUCUCAGGUGCAUUAAGGGUGAUCUCGCUGUGGGAGUGAUUGGAAUAUGGGGUCCAGAUAGAGAUGAGAAAACACGUUUUCUCAAGAAGAUGAAUGAUUCAUUUCUUGGAGGCCUCUCCUUUGAUUUUUUUAUCUUUGUUACAGCCUCCUAUGACUGCACGGUACAAAAUAUUCAAGUUCAAAUCACAAACAGGCUCCGUAUAAACCAGCAUGAUGAUGUGGCAACUCAAGCUACCAGGAUAUCUGAACUGCUCAGGAAAAAAAGUUUUCUGCUGUUGGUGGAUGACCUUCGUGUGCAGCUAGACCUUCAAGCAGUUGGCAUUCCAUAUCCUCUUGGAGUUGUAAGAGUUUUUUUUUUUUUUGAGACCCGGAGUUGUAAGAGUUGUGUUAGCUGCGCAAGGUACUCGCCAGGUGCAGAGGAAAAAGGUACAGAGGAAAGUGGUAGUCACGUCAAUAUCACAAUCCAUAUGUGAUCUGAUGGGUGUGGAUAAAUAUAUACAAGUGCUUGGUUUGGAAGAAGAGGAGGCGUGCAAGCUAUUUGAACACAAUUUCGGUGAGGAGAAUCUUUAUGCCGAUCCCCACGUUGGGGUACUUGCUAAGGAUCUUGUAAGAGAACUAAUGGACCAGCCAUCAGAGCUGAUACAUUUUGGGAAGAUAAUGCGAAGAAACAGAGAUGCAAGGCAGUGGGAAGUUGCCAUUGAUGCUGUAAAGAGAUCAAACCUUCGAAAGGAUAACCCAUUAUGUAUGGAGGAAAGAAUUGUGGAGAAUCUUGAGGAUUUGACCAAAGACUUGGUUGCAAAGAGAAACGAUGUCCGUCAGAAAAUUGAGAAUGCCGAGCGAGAAGGCAAGACAUCAACACAUGAGGUGAACAGAUGGCUGGAAAAAGUGGCCAUCAUUAUCAAUGAUGUACAUGUAAUCUCUGUGGACUACAAGUUUAAGAAGGAUGUUACUAUGCUGGCACUUGAGAAGCUUCAUCAGGUUCAACAAUGUCUCAGUAGUUGUCCCAUUACUUUUGCUGUUGAGUCAAUGCCACCACCUGUACAAGAGGUACCUGCUCCAUCUAUGUCAGCCAAGAACCUUCAACUUCAAGAUGCUCUCCGGUACAUUAAGGAUGACCCCGCAGUAGGAAUGAUUGGAAUAUGGGGUCCAGGCGGAGUCGGGAAACACAUCUUCUAAAAAAUAUCAAUAACUCAUUUGGAGAGGGCAUGACCUUUAGUUUUGUUCUCUUUGUAACUGCCUCUAGAGGGUGCUCAGUUGAAAAGAUCCAAACACAAAUCAUUGAAAGGCUCGGACUGCAACGUACUGGACUGGAAUCUAAAAGUCUUACCAUACGUGAGUACAUGAAGGCGAAAAGCUUUCUUGUACUAUUGGAUGACCUAUGGGACCAAAUUAAUCUACAAGAUGUUGGCAUACCCUAUCCCCUUGGGAAUGUAAACAACCUCAACAGGAAAGUGGUGCUAACAACAAGAUUAAGAAAAGUUUGUGGCCAAAUGAAGGUCAUGGAAGAGUUAAAAGUGUCAUAUAUGCAGGAGCAUGAGGCAUGGCAGCUAUUUGAGGAAAAUAUUGGUGCUGAAACUCUUUCAAGUCCCCAUAUUGUAGCUCUUGCUAGAGAACUUAUGAAGGAACUAAAAGGCUUGCCAUUAGCUUUGACAACUAUUGGAACAUCAAUGUAUCAAAAAGAUACGGCUCAAUGGGAAACUGCCAUCCAAUAUAUGCAACAAUCAUGUUGCACCGAUGACAAAGACACACUAGAACUGGGUAUGGAAACUAAUGUUUUUAGGCAGCUGAAGUAUAGUUAUGACAAUUUAAGAAACAAUACCUUCAGAGAUUGUUUUUUGACUUGUGUAAUGUGGCCUGAGGAUGCCAAGAUUCUCAAAGUUGACCUUGCUCAAUGCUGGAUGGGCUUAUAGUGAACGAGCAGGACAUAGAAUCUUCCUUCAGAAAAUCAUAUAGUCUGAUAGCUGAACUUACAGCUGUAUGUUUGCUAGAGGGUUGGGGUGAUUGGUAUGGUUUCGUUACAGUGCAUGAUGUGAUUCGUGAUAUGGCUAUAUGGAUCUCUUGUGACUGUGGUGAGAACAAUGAAAAAUGGAGUGUCCCUGCACCAGUUGGCAAAGACAAAACAUUUAUCAUCCCUUGGAAAGCUGAGUGCAUCUCGUUGAUGUCUAACGAAGUGACCCAACUUGUUCCUAUCAAGUUUAAUCCUUAUCCCAUGAAAUUGAAGAUAUUGUGCCUUCGAAACAACAAUUUGGAUCAAAGCAUAAUUGCUUAGGCAAUUAAGAAUUGCACUUCACUGACAUAUUUGGAUUUGAGUAAUUUUUUUUCGAUAAAGGAUUGCACUUCACUGACAUAUUUGGAUUUGAGUAAUAACAGUCUCGGGAAGAUACCGGAAGAAUUAUGUUCAUUGGGAAAACUAGAGUACCUUGAUUUGUCAGAAAAUCUACUUCUAGGAGCAGAAGUGCCUCAAUGUUUUGGAAACCUCACCAGCCUCAAGUUCUUGUAUCUAACCUCUAAUGGCAUACGGACAAUACCAAUUGAGGUCAUGUCUAGCCUGAAAGCAAUGCAAGUAAUAGACUUGAGGACUAUGUGGGCACCUUAUGAGGAAGCUCCUGCGUACUUUAACCCUGGAGUACUAUUCCGAGAGUUGGGCACCCUACCUCAGUUGAAAGCGCUUGGUGCUGAGGCCCUAGGUUUUGCUGAGUUGGAGUCACUAAGGGAAGCGGCUAACCUCCCAGUUAGAUAUUUGAGUGUGAUGGAACUCGAUAGAAGUGCAUUAUUUCUCGGUGAUAUUCUAUCAAAUAACUUUGCACAAAGGACGUUGUAUGAACUGGAUAUCAGAUUCUGCUUCAGCCUGAAACAAAUAAUAGUAAGACAUGAUACGCAGCAAUCAAAUAGCCAUUUCGUUGCCCUCAACAAGCUCCGCAUGAUUGGUAUGCUACUAUUGAAGGAGAUAUCAUGGAUAGGAGCAACCCCAACCUCCAUAUUUCCAAGGCUCACUUUUUUGGACUUGUUUGACUGCCCCGCUCUACUGCACCUCUCUUGGGUGAUGUAUUUGCCUCGCCUUGAACAACUCCAUAUAGUUUACUGUCGCUCCAUGGUGCAAGCAUUUAUGAGGUGCCAUGGUGACAAAUUGUGCAAUCCACAAGAGAGGACAAAAACAUUUCCUUGCCUCAAGUUUCUCCGUCUUAUUGAUCACGGCUCAUUGGACACUAUUGGGGAUAACGGUAUGCAAUUCCCGUCCCUAGAGCGACUUGUGAUUUAUAACUGUCCAAAACUGAAGAGGCUUCCUUUCCAGUUGGACAGUUUGCCACUAAAGCUGAAGGAACUAUGGCUGGAUGAUGUUCAAUGCUGGGAGGGACUGGAAUGCGAAGAAGGCAUCAAAACUUUCCUACAGACAUCUCUUAAAUUUGGACCGAAUAUGGAUGAAAUGUAACUUUCAUGUUAGAUACGACUAGCAAUCCUUGUAGACAAUAUCCAAGGUCCCCAACAUUGUUUUGUACCUAUGUGCAGCUGUAAGCCUGUAACAUUAGCUUUCUGUAACGAAAAUGUAAA
Lolium perenne is the source of this 4406-nucleotide non-coding RNA. The record is from RefSeq and is a predicted model, not a curated record. NCBI's taxonomy places the organism in Eukaryota, Viridiplantae, Streptophyta, Magnoliopsida, Poales, Poaceae.